This 461-nucleotide ribosomal RNA is filed under the name uncultured Planctomycetales bacterium. RNAcentral's name for it is "bacterial SSU rRNA". It matches the Rfam family "Bacterial small subunit ribosomal RNA", at positions 365 to 831 of the family's 1533-position model. The record is from RNAcentral. Lineage: Bacteria; Pseudomonadati; Planctomycetota; Planctomycetia; Planctomycetales.
UUCGCAAUGCCCGAAAGGGUGACGAAGCGACGUCGCGUGGGUGAUGAAGGCCCUUGGGUCGUAAAGCCCUGUCAAGAGUUAUGAAAGCAGCUUGCUGCUUGACAAAGGCUCUAAAGGAAGUCACGGCUAACUCUGUGCCAGCAGCCGCGGUAAUACAGAGGUGGCAAGCGUUGUUCGGAAUUAUUGGGCGUAAAGAGCACGUAGGUGGUCAGAUAAGUCAGAUGUAAAAUACCUUUGCUCAACAAAGGACCUGCAUUUGAAACUGUCCGACUAGAGUACAGAAGGGGAGAAUGGAAUUUCUGAUGGAGCGGUGAAAUGUGUAGAUAUCAGAAGGAACGCCGGUGGCGAAAGCGAUUCUCUAGUAUGUAACUGACACUGAGGUGCGAAAGCUAGGGGAGCAAACAGGAUUAGAUACCCUGGUAGUCCUAGCCGUAAACGAUGGGCACUAAGUAGAGGGGUUU